CCUACGGGCGGCAGCAGUGAGGAAUAUUGGUCAAUGGCCGUAAGGCUGAACCAGCCAAGUAGCGUGAGGGAAGACUGCCCUAUGGGUUGUAAACCUCUUUUAUGCGGGGAUAAAGGGGUCCACGUGUGGAUUUUUGCAUGUACCGCAUGAAUAAGGACCGGCUAAUUCCGUGCCAGCAGCCGCGGUAAUACGGAAGGUCCGGGCGUUAUCCGGAUUUAUUGGGUUUAAAGGGAGCGUAGGCCGGUCUUUAAGUGUGCCGUGAAAUUUUGGGGCUCAACCAUGAGAGUGCGGUGGAUACUGGAAGCCUUGAGUGCACGGGAGGUAGGCGGAAUUCGUGGUGUAGCGGUGAAAUGCUUAGAUAUCACGCAGAACCCCGAUAGCGAAGGCAGCCUACCAAGCUGUGACUGACGCUGAUGCACGAAAGCGUGGGGAUCAAACAGGAUUAGAUACCCUAGUAGUC
RNAcentral lists this ribosomal RNA (460 nucleotides) under uncultured bacterium. RNAcentral's name for it is "partial 16S ribosomal RNA". It matches the Rfam family "Bacterial small subunit ribosomal RNA", at positions 338 to 795 of the family's 1533-position model. The record is from RNAcentral.